AAGUGGACGUAUAGGGUGUGACUCCUGCCCGGUGCUGGAAGGUUAAUUGAUGGGGUUAGCGUAAGCGAAGCUCUUGAUCGAAGCCCCAGUAAACGGCGGCCGUAACAAUAACGGUCCUAAGGUAGCGAAAUUCCUUGUCGGGUAAGUUCCGACCUGCACGAAUGGAGUAACGAUAGCCCCACUGUCUCCUUCCGAGGCUCAGUGAAAUUGAAAUCGCUGUGAAGAUGCAGUGUAUCCGCGGCUAGACGGAAAGACCCCGUGAACCUUUACUAUAGCUUUGCACUGGACUUUGAAUUUGCUUGUGUAGGAUAGGUGGGAGGCAUUGAAGUCAGGACGCUAGUCUUGAUGGAGCC
Molecule: ribosomal RNA, 353 nt
Filed under: Anophryoides haemophila
Lineage: Eukaryota; Ciliophora; Oligohymenophorea; Philasterida; Glauconematidae
Description: partial Bacterial large subunit ribosomal RNA
Rfam family: Bacterial large subunit ribosomal RNA
Source: RNAcentral